UACGUAGGGUGCGCGCGUUAAUCGGAAUUACUGGGCGUAAAGCGCGCGUAGGCGGCUUUGCAAGUCGGGUGUGAAAUCCCCAGGCUUAACCUGGGAACUGCAUUCGAGACUGCAUUGCUAGAGUAUGGGAGAGGGAAGUGGAAUUUCCGGUGUAGCGGUGAAAUGCGUAGAUAUCGGAAGGAACAUCAGUGGCGAAAGCGACUUCCUGGACCAAUACUGACGCUCAUGUGCGAAAGCGUGGGGAGCAAACAGG
Molecule: ribosomal RNA, 253 nt
Filed under: uncultured bacterium
Lineage: Bacteria
Description: partial 16S ribosomal RNA
Rfam family: Bacterial small subunit ribosomal RNA
Source: RNAcentral